RNAcentral lists this ribosomal RNA (849 nucleotides) under Kribbella sp. RNAcentral's name for it is "bacterial SSU rRNA". It matches the Rfam family "Bacterial small subunit ribosomal RNA", at positions 108 to 968 of the family's 1533-position model. The record is from RNAcentral. Lineage: Bacteria; Bacillati; Actinomycetota; Actinomycetes; Propionibacteriales; Kribbellaceae.
GAGUAACACGUGAGCAACCUACCCUCAACUUCGGGAUAAGCCUCGGAAACGGGGUUCUAAUACCGGAUAUCACUUCCUGCUUCAUGGUGGGGGGUUGAAAGUUCUGGCGGUUGGGGAUGGGCUCGCGGCCUAUCAGCUUGUUGGUGGGGUAAUGGCCUACCAAGGCGUCGACGGGUAGCCGGCCUGAGAGGGCGACCGGCCACACUGGGACUGAGACACGGCCCAGACUCCUACGGGAGGCAGCAGUGGGGAAUAUUGCGCAAUGGACGAAAGUCUGACGCAGCAACGCCGCGUGAGGGAUGACGGCCUUCGGGUUGUAAACCUCUUUCAGCAGGGACGAAGCGAGAGUGACGGUACCUGCAGAAGAAGGACCGGCCAACUACGUGCCAGCAGCCGCGGUAAUACGUAGGGUCCGAGCGUUGUCCGGAAUUAUUGGGCGUAAAGGGCUCGUAGGCGGUUCGUCACGUCGGGAGUGAAAACUCGGAGCUUAACUCCGAGCCUGCUUCCGAUACGGGCAGACUAGAGGUAGGCAGGGGAGAGCGGAACUCCUGGUGUAGCGGUGGAAUGCGCAGAUAUCAGGAAGAACACCGGUGGCGAAGGCGGCUCUCUGGGCCUUACCUGACGCUGAGGAGCGAAAGCGUGGGUAGCGAACAGGAUUAGAUACCCUGGUAGUCCACGCCGUAAACGUUGGGCGCUAGGUGUGGGGGACAUUCCACGUCCUCCGUGCCGCAGCUAACGCAUUAAGCGCCCCGCCUGGGGAGUACGGCCGCAAGGCUAAAACUCAAAGGAAUUGACGGGGGCCCGCACAAGCGGCGGAGCAUGCGGAUUAAUUCGAUGCAACGCGAAGAA